AGCGAACGCUGGCGGCAGGCCUAACACAUGCAAGUCGAACGAACUCUUCGGAGUUAGUGGCGGACGGGUGAGUAACACGUGGGAACGUGCCUUUAGGUUCGGAAUAACUCAGGGAAACUUGUGCUAAUACCGAAUGUGCCCUUCGGGGGAAAGAUUUAUCGCCUUUAGAACGGCCCGCGUCUGAUUAGCUAGUUGGUGAGGUAAAGGCUCACCAAGGCGACGAUCAGUAGCGGGUCUGAGAGGAUGAUCAGCCACAUUGGGACUGAGACACGGCCCAAACUCCUACGGGAGGCAGCAGUGGGGAAUCUUGCGCAAUGGGCGAAAGCCUGACGCAGCCAUGCCGCAUGAAUGAUGAAGGUCUUAGGAUUGUAAAAUUCUUUCACCGGGGACGAUAAUGACGGUACCCGGAGAAGAAGCCCCGGCUAACUUCGUGCCAGCCGCCGCCGUAA
This 449-nucleotide ribosomal RNA is filed under the name uncultured bacterium. RNAcentral describes it as "partial 16S ribosomal RNA". It matches the Rfam family "Bacterial small subunit ribosomal RNA", at positions 29 to 523 of the family's 1533-position model. The record is from RNAcentral.